Molecule: ribosomal RNA, 497 nt
Filed under: uncultured bacterium
Lineage: Bacteria
Description: partial 16S ribosomal RNA
Rfam family: Bacterial small subunit ribosomal RNA
Source: RNAcentral
GAUGAACGCUGGCGGCGUGCCUAAUACAUGCAAGUCGAGCGAACAGACGAGGAGCUUGCUCCUCUGACGUUAGCGGCGGACGGGUGAGUAACACGUGGAUAACCUACCUAUAAGACUGGGAUAACUUCGGGAAACCGGAGCUAAUACCGGAUAAUAUAUUGAACCGCAUGGUUCAAUAGUGAAAGACGGUUUUGCUGUCACUUAUAGAUGGAUCCGCGCCGCAUUAGCUAGUUGGUAAGGUAACGGCUUACCAAGGCAACGAUGCGUAGCCGACCUGAGAGGGUGAUCGGCCACACUGGAACUGAGACACGGUCCAGACUCCUACGGGAGGCAGCAGUAGGGAAUCUUCCGCAAUGGGCGAAAGCUUGACGGAGCAACGCCGCGUGAGUGAUGAAGGUCUUCGGAUCGUAAAACUCUGUUAUUAGGGAAGAACAAAUGUGUAAGUAACUAUGCACGUCUUGACGGUACCUAAUCGGAAAGCCACGGCUAACUACGUG